GACGAACGCUGGCGGCGUGCCUAAUACAUGCAAGUCGAGCGAACAGGCGCGGAUCUUGCUCCUCUGACGUUAGCGGCGGGCGGGUGAGUAACGCGUGGUUCACCUACCUAUAAGACUGGUAUAGCUUCGGGAAACCAGAACUAAUACCGGAUCAUAUCUUCAACCUCAUGGUUCGAUAGUUAAAGACGGUUUUGCUGUCACUGCUAGAUGUAUCCGCGCCGCAUUAGCUAGUUGGUAAGGUGACUUCGUACCAAGGCAAGGAUGCGUAGACGACCUGCGAGGCGGAUAGGCGACACUGGAAGUGAGACACGGUCAAGACGCCUAAGGGAGGCAGCAGUAGGGAAUCUUACGCAAUGGGCGAAAGCAUGACGGAGCAACGCCGAGUGAGUGAUGAAGGUCUCCGGAUCGUAAAAAUCUGUUAUUAGGGAAGAACAAAUGUGUAAGUAACUGUGCACGUCUUGACGGUACCUAAUCAGAAAGCCACGGCUAACUACGUG
This 497-nucleotide ribosomal RNA is filed under the name uncultured bacterium. Its description in RNAcentral is "partial 16S ribosomal RNA". It matches the Rfam family "Bacterial small subunit ribosomal RNA", at positions 28 to 507 of the family's 1533-position model. The record is from RNAcentral.